RNAcentral lists this long non-coding RNA (1239 nucleotides) under Pan troglodytes (chimpanzee). RNAcentral describes it as "long non-coding RNA NONPTRT003448". Lineage: Eukaryota; Metazoa; Chordata; Mammalia; Primates; Hominidae. The record is from RNAcentral.
ACGGUGGUGAACAAAUCUCUAACAACAAUCAUAAUAACAAUAAAUAAUGAAUAAUAAUAAUAAAACAGUAGUUAACAGUCCCUCCAUAACAGAAUAACAAUAAAAUGCAAGAGGAAAUAUUUUGAGGUGGAGACAGAAGAAGGAGUCAGGAUCACAGCAUCUGAGGGGGAGAUAGGAAAGGAAGGGAGGAAGAAAGCUUCUUAAUAUGCUCUUGGCGGGGCUGGGGUUGGGAACCCCUUUCCCAGACAAGGGACAGAAGAGGGGAAGGAGGGCCAGGAGGCCACUCUUUAUUGCUUUUUUUCUCAGGCUUCUGCUUUGUGUGAUCAGGGAAGGGAUCCCACAUAUGGGGAUGGUUAAUGGCUUUUGGGACUCUCUAGGAGCCCCUGUUUUAAGAAGGAGGCCAAAUGUGCAGGCUCAGGCCAAGGGGCAGAGAUGAAUGAGGCGAUGACCACAGCCUUGAUCCGGCAGGAGCUCAGAGAUGCCCGGGAAGACGGGGGGGCCCGAACGGAAGCAGAAAAACACUUAUGGCCGCUGGGGAGUUGGGAGAGCCAGGCUGGGGCUUCGGCAGGCCCAGGGAAAGUUCCCUUUCUAGGCUCUUUAUUAAAAAAUUUAAAAGGAGGAGUCGAGGCGCCUUGAAUUUUCCUUCGCGAGUUUGGAGACUAGCCGAUUUUUCAUGAAGCAAGCAAAGACCGCGGUCCCGGAUCCUGCAACAUCUACCUCAUUCUCUCCAGGCCUCUCCACUUGCCCGAGCUCUCAGCCACCAGGAGACAGAAGGAAGGGACUUCUGGGCUGCGUUGGGAGCGGGCACUGUCCCCUAUCCACUCCUGCUCGGUUUCCCAAAGUCCAGCGACAUCCGACCCUCCUGGGGGGAAAAAUACCAAUACCCAGACACCUCUGCACCCUGUUAUAUGACUGGGCUUGCUUCAGGAAUAUCUUACAAAGAAGAAGAAGAAGAAGAAAGAACGGCUUGGAGUCAUGUUUACAUCUAGUUCUACUGAUCGGUUCCCAUCUGGAGAGUUUAUUUAUAACUCCCUCUAUAACUCUCUGUUUGGAGGCACUGGUGGCUCUAUUGACAGACUGAUGUCUAGGAAAUAUUGCUCUAUGUCUAACCGUACCUAAAUGUGCUGUGGUUGUAUUUACAGAUUUAUGUUUGAAGGAAAUAUAAUUAUUUCCAUUGUAUUUGUGCAUAUACAGUAGUUAUAGGAGCAGAUUUAUAUAUGGGAAAAUAUACGACUCUCU